CGCCUCUGUGGGUCUGUCCGAUCGCGCCACCAUCAGGGGUUGGGGGCCACAAAGAGGGCUUUGGCACCCAGCCGCGUAGACGCAACCCCGGCCUCAGCAUGAAGUCUCGCAGGGACAAGCUUCACAUCCCGGCGCUGACCCUCGAGUGAGUGCUUGGCGAAGAAGGGGGGAAAUGGGGAGGGAGGAAGAGAGGCAGACAGACAACCGCCCUUCCCCCCCGCGUCUCUUUUUAAGUCGCCCCGAGUCAGACCGCCGCCUCCGGGGAGCCCUCCCGGGUCAUCGGUCAGGCCCCACCCCCGCGGCCUUGGCGAGACCCAGAAUCCCGGGCCUUGGGGGCUCCUUCUCCCUAAGGGAACCUAAGUCCGGGUCCGAAUUCGGAUUCGGCCACACGCAGGGGCCACCACCAGGUUCACCGUCCCCGGCCUCUUUCUUUACAGUCUGUCUCCGAGCAGCCAGAGCCCAUCUUUGCUGAGCCCCAGCAGCCCCUGCAGCCCUUGCAGCCCCUCACUGGGCCUGCAUCCCUGGAGGUAAGUGACAGCACUUGGGGGGCGGGGCUCGGACAUUGCCCUGACACCCCAGAACCUUGGAAGCCGCCCAGACCCAGCUUCCUCACCAAGGUACUGUGGGCUGGUGACAUCACCUCUCUGGGCCUCAGUUUACCCCUCCAUAAAAUGAAACUACUAUCCACAUUAGGGCCUUGAUGGGGGAAAUUCCAUUUUCAACCACAGCCAACAGGUCCUCCAUCCGACAGGUGGCCAAGGUGAGGCUAGAACUUGAGCUGUGGCCCAAGGACAUCCCUGGGACAGAUGCUGGGUUCCCAGCCUGCUCUGGGCCCUCCCUGCUGAAUCAGCCUUGCCUUCCAGCCUGUGACCUCCAGGACCCUCCCCACACCCAGCUCAGCUGGCCAGAAAGCUCCUCCCUCUGAAUGUAGACACACACACACACACACACACACACACACACACACACACACACACAAAGCUGAGAGUUCACCGUUAGAGCCCCACGCACUGUACCAGGCAAAGUGGCGUCAGGAGGAAAGAACCAGCUUGACUGAGUGCCAGCCCUGUACCAAAUACCUUCUGUUUCCUGCACAAGCCGAGAGGGAGGUGCCCUUCCUGUCCCCAUUUCUCAGCUGAGGAAACUGAGGCUGAGAGGAGACGCCACUUCUCCUGGUUCAGUACGUCUGAGGACCGAGCAUCAGGGCCAGCUUGGCUACCAAAGUCUGUUGAGGGUUUGAGGCAGCCUCUGUGACUGGCGCAUCUCAGGGUCUUGCCCCCUCUAUGGGAGGGAAGAUCAGGGUUGUCGUGGGCUCUUCGCACGGCUUGGGAAAAGUUCAGGGAGGUGACAGAUGUGUGAGUCAGUCAUGUCUAGAAUUCAAUGGCCCAUCAAUCAUUUAUACCUCAGUAUGAACGAACUGAUUAGAUUCUUUCCAAUAGACCUUUCGUGGGGAGAAGAGAGAACAAUUUGGAGCCCUCACUGGGUGCUGGGCAACAGACAGUUCCCUUCAUUAAGUAGGUACCUACUGUGAGCCAGAUGCUAAGGGCAUAGCUGUGAACAAGAUUAACGUAAUCCUUCCCUCAUGGGCCUCUCAGUCAGAUCUCUGGAGGUGGGCAGUGAACAAGUGAGGAGACAAACAAGAGCCAUUCAGACGGUGACCCCUUGGGGGAGGUGGUGUUUUAGCCAAGGUCGAGGCAGAGCUAGGGGAAGAGAGGUACCAGGCAAUGGGAACUGUACGUGCAAAGGUCCUGAGGCAGGACCAAGAAUUGAAAAGCUUCUGUGGCUGCCUUGGGGGAAGAAAGGUCUGCCGAGGACAAGUGAUGGGAAGGGAGGUGGCCAGGAUAACAUCUGGGUAGAAAAUGGUGGGGCCUAGACCAGGUCGGGGUAUCCAGUGGGGACUGCUGUACCCCCCAUUUAGGGGAGGAGGAAACCCAGGACAUCAGAGUAUGUUGUGCAGAGGUACCCUGGGAAAGAGUGUCGGGCCAAAUCUCACACCGACUGCUUGGCCUCAACCACCAAGUGAACAACAGCUGAGCCAGUUUACCAGGAGCAAAUGGAGGCAGAGAGUUUGGGGCUCUGAGCAGAAAAGCCUCCUCACCCGCCACCAGAGGGCAGCAGAGCCCCACCACCUUGGGCCAGGCAAGGAAAUGGGUCCCUGCCUCCCCUGCUCCAAGUACCCUAGGAAUAAGCCCACGUUUGUCCCCUCAGCCUCCAAGUCCCCAUGAGUCUGGCCCCUGCCACCUCUUAUCUCCCUGUCAUCUAUCUCCCCAUCUGGCUCACCAUACUCUAGCCAUGAGGCUUCCUGGGCUGCUAGAAUAUAAGCUGGUCCAGCCUCAGGGCCUUUGCAUUUGCUACUCCUCUGCCCAGAGCUCCAUUUCCUCCUUUCUUUGUUUGCCACAUCUCUAUCAAGCCCUCAGAUAGGAAGCUUUUUCUGAACACAGCCCCCAUUCAGGGCCUCCCAAGCCCCAGAUACAUCCAUUAUGCCUGUCCAUUUCCCUCAUUGAGACUGCAUUACGGGUGUGAUUUCCAUGUUUUCUUGUGUGAUUCUUAGGUUAUUUUUCUCACCCAGAGGUUUGGGAGCCCCUUGAGGGCCAGAGCUGGAUCUGUCCUCUCUAUUCUAGGGCGGGGCCUGGUAUACAGCAGGUGCUCAGUUAAUGCUUAUGGCAUGGACAAAUGGGAAGGAGGUGGGAGGGCUCUGCCUGUGGUGGUGAGCAGGAGGUAAUCGAAGAAGGUCGUGAACUCAAGGUCGUGAAUUCGGCCCUCAUGGACAAGGGGGCAAUAAAAAGCACCGUCAGAAGAAUGUUCCCUCUGGGGCCUUGAAUGUCAGGGACAGGAAGAAUUUGUAUUUUUCUAUCCAGGGAGCGAAGAACCAUACAGCAUAUAGAGCUGGGAGGGGUGUGGACAGUGCAUGGGCAGGUGGGAAGGGCUUGGGAUGGUCAGACCACGGAGGGGUUGAGGGUAGGGUUCUGUAUGCUCACUGGGGCUUUGCCAUUUACAUAGUCACUUAGCACAAGCAGAGGGAGGCAGGUCCUGAGUUACGGACAGGGUUAGGAUCUGAGACCUAGGAGAGGGAUUCACCCAGAAGUGUGGUUUUGCUGUAAAAGCACCGAGGAGCCACGGAGGGCGGGUGAGUUGGGGAGGGACGUGAUCUGGUGGGCAGGGGGCUGACGCCAGGCAUCGGUGGCUUAGUCAGCCCUUCACGGGAGGCCUUUGCCACGGCCACAGGCGUUGUGGAUUGUCAGCUGCAGCAUUGUUCUGCAGAGGAGGAAACUGAGGCCAGAUGGGCGUGGGAGAAGUGGCUGCUGGGGAUGCCAGCACAGUGGGAGUAAUGGGGGGCACGGAGGCACUAUAGGGUGCCACCACAGCUGGGAUUGACAGGUACUUCCUUUACGAACUGCGCAGAAGCAUCCCUGGCACACAUGGUGGGGAGGGUUUGUGGGCACGGUAUGUCAGCAUAUGGUGACACCAGACCAUGAUUCCAUCUCUACUUGGGCCUCAAACCAGGUCUGGAAUCUACCCACUUUUCCCCACAGCCUCACCCUGGUCUGGGCCCCAGUGUUGUCCUCCCAGACCCUGUUACAGCCUCUCACUAGCCUCCUGCCACCUGCAUUCCUGCCCCUGACAGCUCCUGUUCCCCAUGGAAGACGGUGGGGAGGGGUGGAAUUGACAAACAAUUCAGACCAUGCCCCUUCCCUGCUCGCACGUCCUCCAUGGCUCCCCAUUGCUUCUCCCGUUACAACUGCACUCUUCCUGCAACGUUUACAUGUUAAGUCCUGCUGGCCUCUUCCCCUCAGUCUGGUCUCAGGGCUUCUGCACAAGUUGCGCCCUCUGUUGGGAACACUUCCCAUGGCUGGCCCCUCUUCUCAAUGUGUCACCUCCUCAGAGAGGUCUCCUGGCUAAAGUCGCCCUUUGCCAUUUGUUACCUCUGUUCUUUUCCUUCCUUGACUAUGGUAUUUGAAAUUAUCUUGAUCAUUGAGUCGUUUGCUGUUUACUGUCUGCUUCCCCCACCAGACUUGGGGCCUCUGAGGGCAGGGUACUCAGGGUUUAGCACAGGGUCAGGAACACAGUAGUUACUCAAUAAAUGUCGUGUGAGUGAAUGACCAGCGAGGGGUGUUUGAGACCCAGGCCCAGGGGACCUGGAGAGCAUCAGGAGGACAAACCCAGUAGCUUCCUGAGGGUGACCGUGGCCAUGGCCAAGGCAGGAUGGGGAGUCUCUUGAGAAACCUGAGAAGCAAAAUUCGCGGCAAGAAGGUUGGGGGGAGUUAGGGUUACACACCAGGCGGGGGCCCCUAUCCAUGACUUCUCAGAUAUGGGGUCUGGGCUUCAGCGUCUGGGCUGGUUCCCAAAGCAUCAUGUGAUCUGUGAAGAGGCCACCCUCAGGGUGACACUGUCCCUGACUUCUGGGACGGUCAUGAGAGGAAGAAGCACUAAUUCACUACCUCCUGUGUCAGACGUUCCUAUUUCUAUGGUGAACAGGUACUGCAUUCCCAGCCCUUUCUGUGCCUCCGAUUCCAUUCCAUUUUCCCGAGGGGACAUCUGUAGAGGGAGAAACAGAGGCCUGGCUGGAAGUUAGCCUGAUGCUAAUAACAUUUAUCACACAUUUAUCAGGCACUGUUGUGGGUGCCACCUUACGUCUAAUUCAUGUAAUCAUCCUAUCAGCCCAAUUUCCCUCCCAUUUUACACUUGAGAAGACAGGCCUCAGAAGUUAAAUCAGGUAUCCCCUGAGUCGGGUAGCCAAGUUGAUGGCCUUUCCGUCACCAUAGACAGGCAAAGCAUGUCGGAUGCCCUGAUUUUCGGUUUGCUCAACACGUCCUUUCUGCCAGUCCAGUGCUGAGAGAUGCCGGGGCCUCAGGGAGCCCAAGCCCGAGAAGACAGAGCCAGACAGACGAGAAAAGGUUUCCUGGAAGAGGGGACGCUGGAUUUUGCCAGGCAGGAAGGACAUUCCAAGAAGGGGAGCCACCGUGGGGCACGGUAGCAUGAGCCAGGCCAGGCCCUGGGAUAGGUCUCAAGUGCCACACUCAGAAGGGGUUCGCGCGGGGGGGAGAGAGGGAAAAGGAGACGUGAACAGAUUGACGUUUUGAAGGAAGGGGGCUACGUUCCACCGCCUCACCUAACAGGCGCCAACGCCCCGCCCCCGCCGCCCGCAGCCCUGGCAACGCCCCGCCCCUCCGCCCGCGGCCCUGGCAACGCCCAGCCCACUAAGCCAGCACGCGGGUCCGCCAGCCUCGCUUCCGCGUCGCUCGCUCCGCCCCGCGAGGCCCCGCCCCCGCGAGGCCCCGCCCCCGCGCUCGCCUGGGCGGGUUCCCGGCCGCGUUCCGGGGCGCGCGCUUCCUCCUCGCCCCCUAACCCCAGCCCCGCGGCGCGCACCCCCUGCCCCGCUCCGCGGGGCUCCUGGGGCCAAUCCCGCCGCGGAGGUUCGUGCCCCGCCGCCGCCGCCGCUGCGCCCCCGCGCCUCCCGGGUCUCGGGCGGCGGCGGCGGCACAAAGAGAAGCAGCAUGUCCGACCCCAGCUACUGGACGGCGGUGGCUGCGCCAGGCCACCGGAGCCGCCUUGCCAAGGGCGCGCUGCUGCAGCGCUCCAAGAGGUAGGGGGCACCGUGCGGGCAAAGGCGCGGCGGCCGGCCAAGCAAACACGAGUUGCCAGAAGUAUAUCCCGUGGCGGCGUGGCGUGGGCCACUGUGUGCGGCGGUAGGGGGCAGGGGGGGACGCUUUGGGAUCGAGGUAUCCUCUAGGACCCCAGAUACCCUCGUUUCGCCCGUCGUUACCCCGGAGUGGGGUGUCUGCCCGCCGGGGUCUUAGUUAAGGGGGUAACACAGGCAGAAGGGACUUGGGACCGAGGCGGGAUUCGAACCCGGGUCUCUAGGCCUGGGAGACCUGGGGAGGAGCUUCUUGGAAAAACUGAGGCUAGUCUGGCCCUGGGGCUCAGUUAGCGGAAAUGUUGUUUCAGAAGCAGAUAUUUACCGCAUGAGGCUGGCAUGCAGGUGGUGCGUCAGGAGCGGGGUCACGGGGGUAAAAUACUGGGUUUAGCCUCCAGCGAAGCCUGGCUUCUCUUGGAGUCUGUUUCCUCUUCUGAAAAGAAAAGGCCAGGUAAGGGCUGUGGACUUUACAGGACUUGGGUUCAAAUUCCUGCCCAGCCACUGCCUGGCUGUGUGACCUUAGGCAGUUCCUUAACCUCUCUGUUCUUAGAUGUUUCACUGGUGCUGGGUUGGGGCGUUCCUAGAGGGCUAGGCACCGAGACCAGCUGCUGAAGGACCUGGAAUGCUAGGUUCAGGGCUUAGACGCUUCUCCCAGAUCCUGUGGAGCUACAGAGGGCUUAUGGGCACCUUAGGGAUCGGGUACAGGAAGCUGGCCUCAGGCCAGCGUUUUCUGUCGUAUUCUCACUCUGUGUUGUCCCACUUGGGUGUUUAUUGAAUGGCUAGGCAGAGCUUCUCCGCGUCCUGGGCCUUCUCCAGAGAGGGCUGAGCAAAUAGUCGACACUAGACAGUUGCUCGGGAAGUGCACAAAUGAUGCCCGGUUCCCCUUUGAGACCUCAAAUAUGGCUGUGUUUUCUUUUCAAGAAGGCCCCGCCUGAGAGCGAGAGGGAGGUGGCCAAGUGUUUUUCCCAAAGGCAGCUGUUAGUGAUAAAUGAUGCAUUGGGGUGCAGCAUGGAGCUGAGGAUCCAGAUGAGGGCUGGGAGAGGAUGUGGGACUGGCGGGGGUAUGGGUGUGUGUGUGUGGGGGGGGGUUGUUGGCAGGAAGUCUUGCAGGAACCUGUGGGUUUCACUUUUGCUUCUGUACAUCAGACUACAGGACAGUUCCUUGCGGCUGUUGACAUCCGUGGCCUCAGUUUCCUCGGCUGGGAAGUGGGUGCAACUGGUGUCUCUCACCUCCGGGUUUGUUGGGAUUGGCAAAGGGUGACUUAAUUCACCGGGGAGGCAUUGCCUGCCCUCCCACUGCGCGCACUAGACCCUGCAGGAGUUGUGGGGAGAAAGAUGACAAUAUACGUGCCCACGGCCAUCGACCCAGUGCUGGGCCCAGAGCUGAACACUGUGUACGUAGUGCAUCAGAUCUUCCCAGCACCUUGCAGGGUGUACAGAUGGGGAAACAAGCUCAGAAGGGCAGGUGUACAUGCUGGAUCCCUCCUCCCUGCCUGUCUUGAUGCCUGGGUCGGCGGCUGACCCUGCUCUCCCAUGUCUUAGCCUGCUCUGUGCCUUCUGCCUGGGACACCAUUCCUGGCCCUGUGAGGCCCUGAGGUUUCUCUCUCCCUCCCUGCGCCACUGAGCUGCGUUGGCGGCUCAGAGUAUGUGGGCUGCUGCACUUGUCGAGCAAGCAGAGCCGUUGCUGGGCGACUGCACCGGGGAAGGUGGGGAGACGGUUCGCUCUCAAUUUCCCUCUGCCAGGGCGGGGGCCGGGGCCGGGGCACAGGUGGGAGAGGCUGGGCAAGCGCGGGAGUGGCCUGGGCCAGGGGGUCUGGAAGCCAGAAGACAACGGGGAUGGAGGGAGGGGAACGUGUGGGCAAAAGUUGGGUAGAACAGGAAGGACAGGACCUAAGGUGCGAGAUGCUGAUUUUCGGGGUUUUAUAAGGAUCAGACUGGCAUUUUGGGGGGAUCGUGGGGAGGAAGGUCGCCAAGAGAUUGGGGCAGUGAGCCUGAGAAGGGGUGCGUGGAAUGGAAUGGGAACCUGCCUCAGUUCACCAGUGAGCUCCGGGGUCCUCUCCACUCUCUGCCUUAUUUGCCAGUGCUCCUGGCCGGGGCAUGGCGUCAGCGAAGGAGUGGGGGUGGGGUGGUGAACACAGAAGUGUGAGAAGGCUCACGGGGGGCUCCUGGCCAUGUGCAGUGUCCCCCAGGAGUCUAGAAGUGUUUCAUGCCACCACUGAUAAUAAUAAGAGUUUUAACAGUAGGUAACAUUUGUCAAAAAUGACUACCCCAGACCUCAAAGGCCGAGCUAAGGGCCAUGCAGGAGUCCAACUGGGGGCAGAGUGGCAGUGGUCACACCUGGCUUCCCGUCCUGCCCCAAAGCUGGCCACAUGUGCGCUCUGGCUUGGGCACGUGGUCCUCUGAGCCCUGAGGCCUGGGCCAGCGCCUGACCUUGUCCCCACCUCCCUGACAGCUGCCGCAGUGGGAACCGCAAAAGCCUGGUGGUGGGAACGCCCUCCCCAACCCUCUCCCGGCCCCUGUCUCCGCUCUCAGUUCCAACAGGUGAGUGUGGGAGCAAGCCUGCAGGGGCGGUGUCCCGUCUCUGCCCCCCCUGCCUCAGUUUCCCCUGCCUGCUUCUUCCUCAGCAGGCAACAGCCCCCUGGAUAGUCCUCGGAACUUCUCCGCUGCGUCGGCCGUGAACUUCCCCUUUGCCCGAAGGUGAGUGGUCACUGGCUUUGAGGGAUGACCUCAGCACAACCGGUGAGGGGACAGGCAGCGGCAUGCUCUUGGUGGUUGGCCCUGCCUCUUCAUUCGCCUUUUCCCCUCCCCUGUCCCCUGCCCUGUGACGGUCUCUCCCCCUGGCUUCUGCCCCCGGCAAACGCGCGGCCUUCUGCAGCCACGUCCCGCGCACGGACAGGUAAUUUCAGGGAGCCCUUGGGGAGGAGGAGGGCACACCAUCCAGGCUAAAAUCACUAAUUCACUAAAAAUCAUUAAUUUACUUAGAGUUGACGUUGGACCAAGCAUUUAAAUGUUACUCGUUCACUCAUUAACAUUUAUCGAGCACCCGUUACAUGCCGUACCCUGUGCCGGGGGCCGAGGAAGGGGGAGGCUGGACUUCGACCCUUGAGGAGUCCUCAGUCUCAAGGGGGUGACUGGCAUGUAUCCCAGCAACUGCAACUCACAGAGGUCAGAGCUUCGAUGUGGGAGGCACUGGCAGCUGGGUCAGGGAGGGCUUCCUGGAGGAGGUGUCAGAAGGACAAGGAGAAAACACACAGUGGAUUUGUUCACCUUGAACCUCUGUUCGCCGCCUUUUCAGAAGAUCCUUCCUCCAACAGGGCCAGCACCUGCCAGCCACGGUCUCCGUCCUUAGUCCCCACAAACCACGGGGGCCAUGCCUUCUUUCCAACUCUUCUGGUUCUCCCCUCUAGGGCUGACGGCAGAAGAUGGUCCCUUGCAUCUCUCCCAUCUUCUGGCUAUGGAACCAACACACCCAGCUCCACCGUCUCGGUACCCACAGUCCCACCUUGGCCAGCAGACAGGCGGGUGCGAGGUGGGGCGGGACACGUCUUUGGUUUUUAUCAAGGUGUCGGAUAGUUGUCCAGUCAACAAACAUCCUGGCUGCCCCCUCUGUGCCCCAUUCCGGGCAACGUAUGGCUCCCUGAAAGGACCCAGCCUCGGUCCCAAGGAGUCCCCGUUCUGGAGGACACAGACAUCCCCAUCCUGUGGGGUUAGGGCCUGGCCAGAGGGAGUCUUAGGGUUGCUUAAGGAGCAGGCGGCGAGGCUUGUUGGAGGAGGGGGCAUCAGAGCUGGGGUUUUGAAGGAUGCGUAGAAGUCAGGCAGGAGAGUGUUAACAUCUAAUGACCAGCAGGCAGCCUAGGCCUUGAGGGGUGAUGCUAGGGUUCUGGCUUUGGCGCUGACUGUGAACUCGUGGCCCUGAUACCCCCUCCUGCCAGUCGAGCUCAUCCUCCCGGGAGCGCCUCCACCAGCUUCCUUUCCAGCCGACACCGGAUGAACUAUGCUUCCUGUCCAAGCAUUUCCGCAGCUCAGAGAGCGUGGCUGACGAGGAGGGCGGCCACCGCUCACCCCACCUUCGUCCCCGUUCCCGCAGCCUCAGGUGGGCCUCGACCUCUAACCUCGGCCCCUCCCCGGGCUGCCUUUGGGGCCCACAUUGUGGCCCCUCCUCCACCUCUGGCCCUGACCCUGUCCGAGCCUGGCCUCUGAUCCUCGACCCUCCCCUGGACUGGAUUUCUGGUCCCACGUCACAAGCUGACUGUCCCCCGCCUGCCCCUUCCCCUUCAGCCCGGGACGCACAACAGGGAACUUCGACAAUGAAAUCGUCAUGAUGAAUCAUGUGUACCGGGAGAGGUUCCCCAAGGUGGGCAGUGCCCGGUGGCUGCACCGGCCCUAACUCCCCUCCAUGUUGUUGUCCCUCCUUGGCACCCUGUCUUCUUGGCUGUAUCCCCCCCAUCUCUCCAUUUCUGUCUGUCCCUAUCUCUCUGUCUCAAAGCGCCCCCCUCCAACCCAGGCAUAUUGCUUCUUCCCCCCCCCCAACCCAGUUCUCUGGCCCCGUCGUCCCCAUCAUCACAUUCUCCCCCACAACUGCCUGUCUUGCCCCCACCUGUGUGUAUUGCCCCCCCCCCCCGGCCCCGUCCAGUGACCAGGUUGUCCCAUCCGCCCUGCCCAGGCCACGGCACAGAUGGAAGGCCGCCUGGAAGAAUUCCUUGCUGCUUUUGCACCCGGCGCCCGGCUGGCCCUGGCCGAUGGCGUCCUGGGCUUCAUCCACCACCAGAUCAUUGAGCUGGCCCGCGACUGCCUGGCCAAGUCUGGAGAGGCCCUCGUCACCUCCCGCUACUUCAUGGAGAUGCAGGAGAAGCUGGAGAGGCUGCUACAAGAUGUGCGUGGUGGUGGGGGGUGGGGGGUGGGUGUAGGGGUCCCCGGGGAGGGCAGGGCCAAGGGCCUGCAGGCGACGCCAUCACCCGCCUCUCCCUAGGCCCACGAGCGCUCGGACAGUGAGGAGGUCGGCUUCAUUGUCCAGCUUGUCCGAAAGCUGCUCAUCAUCAUCUCGAGACCGGCGAGGCUCCUUGAGUGCCUGGUGAGUCUCUGCACCCAGCCAGGUGUGGGGCCCAGCGGUUGAGACUAGGCCGCUAGAACCGUCCUGCUGAGAUACAAGAGACAUGCCCAUCGGGUGGGGUUUGGGGAGGAGCACGGGGUGCCUCCCGGCUGGGCUGGGCUCUUUUCCCCAGGGAAGUGCCAGGAGCUGAGAUCUGGAGGGGAGAGUUGGAGCCACCGAUAGUGAAGCUGCUUCAGACGGAGGGAACGGCACGGGCCAAGGCCUGGAGGUGGGCACAAGCCCCGCCUUACCGGCCCCUCUGCCACCCCCAGGAGUUUGACCCUGAGGAGUUUUACCACCUGCUGGAGGCUGCCGAGGGCCAGGCCCGAGAGGGCCAGGGCAUCAAGACGGACCUGCCUCAGUACAUCAUUGGGCAGCUGGGCCUGGCUAAGGACCCCCUCGAGGGUAAGCUGACGGGAGUAGGGUGGAAAGGGAAAACCAAGGAGAGGCCGGGGCAGAGCUGUGAUUCGAACCCAGAGCCGUCAACUCCACAGCUGCCAUGAUGUCCUUCGUCUCUCUGUGGCUCUGCCCUCAGCCACCUGUGGGGCCCACUGUGGGAAAGUGCCUGGGGUUCCUGGGUCAGCCAGCUGUAAGUGGGACCUCUGACCUGCCAAGGGGUGGCUCCCAGAGGAGCCACCGCUCCUCCCACGAGUCCCCAAAGUACUUUCCUGAUUUCAUCAUCUGACCGUGGCCCAGGAGACGGACUUAGAGUCGGACAGGACAACCAACCCGUGGGCUUGACCAAGCUGGUCAAGAACUCCCCCCAGACAGCAGAGUCAGGAGACGUGCACCUGAGACGUGGGACCCGGGGAGCGUCGAACUUGGACCUGACCUGGUCCAGGUGCGGCCAUGGGAGGCUCUGGGGAAAGGUUGAUGUGUAAGCGAGUCCUGGCGGAUGGAGAGGUGACCAGGUACAGAUCUGGGGAAGAGAGGGGGUGAGCCGGGCAGGGGGGGAGGGUGAAAGCAAAGGCCCUGAGGUGUGCGGGAAGAACAGUGAAGGGGGAAGCGACUGGAGCUGAGGAAGAAGCAAAGCUGGGAGAAGGUGGUGGGGUCAGCAGGGCUUUGCCACAGUGGCUGGCGUCUGCCCAGCAUCGCUGCUCUGUUAACCCUGGGACUGGGCUGCCACUGUCCCCGUUUAAGGCUGAGGCUCCAGGCAGAUGAGGUCGAGCAGGGAUUCAGACCUCGGCGGGCCCCAGGCCAGACCGCUUGUCGACUGGCUGUGUGGCCCCGGCUGUGCCUGGCUGUCCAAUGAAGGCAGGUGGUGCCGUGGGCGGCCCCGGGGUCAGAGGAAGCAGAAAGUGGCCGGGCAGUUGGCAGCUGAGACUGUGGGGCAGGUCAUCUAUCCAGUGCCCCCGGCCAGGAACCUACUGAGUAAAAGAGGCUGUAUUCAAACCCAGACCUCCCUCACCCGUGAGACCCCAUUGUCCCAUCCCAGCCUUGCUCCGUGACCGUGAGACACUGUCAUGAUUCAGUGCCAUCAUCACGGCUCAUGUGCACCAGCCGCUCACUCGGGGCCGCCCCUCUGCCAAAGCCCUAGGGCCAGAAAACGGCAUGGGUGGGGGGCUCCCUCUGGGCCACACCCUCAGCUGAGGAGGAUGUUAGGAGCCAAGACCCAGAGGGCCUAUGUCACAGCCUGUGUUAACAGGCCCAAGGCUCGGAGCCAGGAUGAUGGCUGUGCCAUUCAGAGGCUGGGCUUCCCACGGGUCCUUCUGGAAAGUUCCUCAGGCGUUGCUUACUCUGGCCUGGGUUUGGCCAAGGUCUGGACGUAGUAGGGGCUCGAUGAUGCGAUGAUGGUAUCGUGGGAGCCGGUCAGGGAGGCACUACGUCCCCAGGAUGAGCCCUGGAGGCCUUGGGAAAUCUCUGGGCGAUCGAGGCACAGGCACGGAGGCAUCAUUUGAGGCUCCUCCCUUGUCUCACAGAAAUGGUGCCUCUGAGUCACCUUGAAGAGGGAGGACAGCCUCCAGCACCUGAGUCCCCGGAGGUAAGUCACAGAGCUUUGACGCCCCCACCUGUCGGGUUCUUUUCAAGGUAGAUCAGGCAGCCGUGGGAGGGGCUGGGUGUGCGGACGUGUUGCAUGUAGUAGGUGCUUAGUAAAUGCCUGUGACUUGAGGGAGAAGGUAGAGGCGAGUGCCCUGCCCUGGCGGUUGGACAGGGCAAGGCUGGAGGGGAUACUGGAAAGGGGCGUUUUGGAAGAUGUCUAGGAGUUUUCUGGAAGGAGGACGUGGCUCCAGCCAAAGCUCAGGAACUCAGAAGCUGAGUUUGAGAAGUCUGGAAGGAGAAAGUAGCAUCAGAUGUCGGGACCAGUGGCUGGGACUUGAAGGCAGGAAGAGCCCGGCCUGCUCUGAGGUGGGGCAGGACCCUGACCCUUCUUUGCCCCCUAGAGCCGUGCCCUGGUCGGCCCAUCGCGGAGGAAGCCGUGUGAGAAUGACUUCGAGACCAUCAAACUCAUUAGCAACGGGGCCUACGGGUAAGUCCUCGGGUCCCCCAGGGACUGAUUUCUCAGCCGCCCACGGGGAUGCCUGAGGUCCAGCGGCCCCUGAAUGUGCAGUCCGGGAAGCUGAGGCCUGAAGAGGGCAGUAGAGACACAGUACAGCCAGGCCAGGGUCCCAGACAGGCUCCGCCACGGUCUAGGCCAUUACCUGCCCCAGGUGUAGGGAGUUCUAGGUAUACAAGGAAAAAGAUGGCCCCGUGGUGGCGGUAGUGAGCAGUGAGCGUUAUUUUAGUGCUACUUUGACAGGUCCGUGUGGGGCUGGGGUGGGAGGGGGAGUCCUUCACAGGAUAAGACUAUCCAGAAGGGGCUUGUGCGUUUGGGUGAUGUGGCUCAGCAGCACUGCCAGGAGUCUGGGUCAGGGAGCUCCAAGAGGCAGCAGUGGCUUGGGGUCUUUUUAGCCCCAGGGCUCGUCUUCCGGAAGGCUAGUAAAUUUGGUAUCGUUUCACUACGGAUGCAAAGCUGGCAAGCUCUCAACGGUCAAAAAUCUGCUUAUUUGGGCCCUAUUUAAAGCACUUUGAGUUUGGUGCCAGGGGGCUUUUGACUGCAGGGGUCUCAGUCUGCCGUGAAGACAUAAGCCAAGGGCCAUCUCUGUCAUAUCGAUGUGACACCAAGAAAGGCAGCUUAAACCCAUAGGGUGGCUGCUUUUGGAGAGGGGCCAGGUAAGGAGAAAGGGUGUCCCGGCUGUAGGGCGCAGCGCGGGCAGAGGCCUGGCACGUUGGGUUCUGGGCCCAGGUCGGGGCCCGUUGCCUGCCCGGGCCUCGGUCUCAAGCCUCGGCGAACCCGGCUCCCCCAGGGCUGUCUACCUGGUGCGGCACCGAGACACACGGCAGCGCUUUGCCAUCAAGAAGAUCAACAAGCAGAACCUGAUUCUGCGCAACCAGAUCCAGCAGGUCUUUGUGGAGCGUGACAUCCUCACCUUUGCCGAGAACCCGUUUGUGGUCAGCAUGUUCUGCUCCUUCGAGACCCGUCGCCACUUGUGUAUGGUCAUGGAGUAUGUGGAAGGUGCGGUCACUAGGGCUUGCAUGCCUCCAGUGACGGGGAGCUCACCACCUACCCAGAAGAAAGUCCCUCCUUUGACCAAGCUAGGGUCUGCUCCGGCCUCCCUGGGGUCCCAGCCUGCCUUGGGAGCUCCUCAGUCUGUGGUGGGGGGGGUCCAACCUGGGCAGUUGGGGCUGAGGGAGUCCAAAGAGGUGUGUGAGGGUGGGACCCAGACAUCCUAGGCGGGGGGGGGGGGGGGUACCAGUGAGCAGAGGCCUGAGGGCCAGAAGUAAGAGCAAGGACGGAGGGAGGGUGGGACGUGUGGGUCGGAAGGGCCAGGAUGAUUGGGGGCCAGGGAGAAGAGUUGUUGGAUCAGGUUUGCAGUUAAAGAAUGAGCAGGGCCUUCAGGGGGUGCAGGGGUGUGCACUGUUCAAGGUCCUUCUAGGCAAGGAGGGGGAAUGAGCACUUAGGAGGCACUGGCUGUGUACAGGGUAAGGAACCGUGUCCUCGCAGGGCUGCUGCCCUGCCAAGGGAGAAUCAGGAAUCUGGAUCUGCCCUCCCUCCUGCCCUUCUUGGUUCCCCGCCUUGGUUUGGUAUAGACCAGGGAUGUUUUGCAGGAGGGUGGGGGGGGGGGGGGGGGGUCUCGUAAGCCCAGGGCCUCUGAACGCAUCUGUCGCCCAACAGGUGGUGACUGUGCCACGCUUCUGAAGAACAUGGGCCCACUGCCCGUGGACAUGGCCCGCAUGUACUUCGCCGAGACGGUCCUGGCACUGGAGUACUUGCACAACUACGGCAUAGUGCACCGGGACCUCAAGCCUGACAAGUGAGCAGCCUGGGGCUUUGGGAGCGGGGCCUCUGACUGGGGUCUGGGGCUGCUCAGAGCUCCCCGCCUAUCCAGGUCCUGCUGGCCCGUGGGCCCCUGGCAGCAGGAAGACAGGGAGCAGUGGCAACUUUGGGCACCUGGUGCAUACAGAGGAGGACAGGUCCUUAAGAGGCACCUGCUGUAUGCGAGGGGAGGAUAGUUGUAUUUACGGAGAUGCGGUCAGGCAAAGAGAGAAUGUGCACUUUAGUGUGCACACAACGCACAGGGGAAGGGACUGUGCACUCACAGAGUUACCGCGGCACAAGAGGAGAGAACGUGCACUCAGGAGGCACCGGCUGUAUACAGGGAACAGGGACGUGCCCUUUGCAAGACCUUCUGUGUGAAGAAAGGGACUGUGCAUGUCUUGAGCACCUGUUGUGUGUUUGUGCAGGGAAGACAGGAAGAGAUGUUCACUGAGAGCCUUGGGAAGUUUAUUUUGCUCUAGCACCUGAUAAGCACCUACUGCAUGCCAGGUCCUCUGUGGGCGACCGUGAGACGCGUGUGUGAAUAAUCCAUCAUGCUUUAUAACCCCUACAUAAUUUGCAAGGCACUCUCCCCUGCAUUAAUUGAGCACCUGCUGUUUAUAGAGCAAGGGGCUGCUCUUGAUAUCAAGUGCCGUCUGGAUACCAGGCCAGGAGCUCGAGUUUCUUAGGUUCUUUUUUUUUUUUUUUAAUUUUUUUUUCAACGUUUUUAUUUAUUUUUGGGACAGAGAGAGACAGAGCAUGAACGGGGGAGGGGCAGAGAGAGAGGGAGACACAGAACCGGAAACAGGCUCCAGGCUCCGAGCCAUCAGCCCAGAGCCUGACGCGGGGCUCGAACUCACGGACCGCGAGAUCGUGACCUGGCUGAAGUCGGACGCUUAACCGACUGCGCCACCCAGGCGCCCCGAGUUUCUUAGGUUCUUGCUGCACGGGGGUGUGAACAUCAGCAUUAAGAGCCUGCACGUUUUCAGGCGUCUUGUAGUUUGCCAGCGGCUUAGAAAAUAAAGUGUGUAUUUGGCACCUGCCAUGUACCUGGGCCUCUGUGCGCAACACUUGUCAAUAUGCUCUGUGCCGUCAGGUCUGUGGAUCAUCCUAGAGUGGGGUGGGGUCUCCUGAGUGACCCCAAGGCAGCACCUGCCCCUCCCAGGCUCGGGACCCCCAUCUGCAAAAUGGCACAGGCCGGCGCCCAGCCCCCGAAGGUUCAGGGAGACAGGCGCACACGAUAGACACGCGAGAGAGAUACUUUCUCCUUUCACUUUGGAAAAUUCCAAAUACAUCCCAAAGUCAAGAGAAGGCGCAUUCAUUCACUGGGGCUGUCAGAGCAAAGUAGCACAGAACUGGGCGGCUUAAACAAUAGAAGUUAAUUCUCACAGUUCUGGAAGCCAGAAGUCCAAGAUCGAGGUAGCAGCAGGGCUCCCUCUGACGUCCCCAGGGAAGGAUCUCUUCCAGGACCCUCCCCCAGCUUCUGGUGAUUUCUUGGCUUGUGGCGACAUUGCCCCGCUCUUCACAUGGCGUCCUCCCUCUGCAUGUCUGGGUCCAAAUGCCGUUCCUGUAAGGACACCAGUCAUACUGGAUGAGGGGUCACUGUACUCAGGGACGUCCUCCUCUUAACUAAUCACACAACAAUCCCGUCUCCAAAUAAGGUCACGUUCGUAGUCACUAGAGGUCCGGACGUCAACAUGUGACUUUGGAGGUACAUAACUCAGCCCAGAACAGAAGGAAGGGUCCAGUGCCCCCCCGUCCACUCCCCACAUUCAACCCGUUUCCACAGCUUCCAACGCUUGGCCAAUCCUGCUUCCUCCCCAUCCCUGGGUCCCCCCACCCCCCAUGCCGGGCAAUUUGAAGCAUAUCCCAGGCAUCGGAUCAUUUCAUUAUCAUUUCAUUUGUAAGAAGGAAAGGUUUUUUGUUUUUUUUAACAUUUACCUAUUUUUGAGAGAGAGAGAGAGAGAGAGAGAGCGCGCGAGCAGGGGAGGGGCAGAGAGAGAGGAAACAGACUCCAAAGCAGGCUCCAGGCUCCAAGCGGUCAGCACAGAGCCCGACGCGGGGCUCGAACCCACAAACCGUGAGAUCAUGACCUGAGCCGAACUUGGACACUUAACCCACUGAGCCACCACGGCACCCCCAGAACUUUUUAAAGACAGUGGGUGCACAGAAUCGUUCCUUUAGAGAGUCCGUGGAUGCAGUUCUGUGCCAAGUAAACGGUUUAUCAAACCACUUGGCUAUACGCAGCUCUCCAGAAAUUAAGCAGCCGAGGUACCAGGAGGUGCGCGAAACGGCGACUUUCUAAAGGUGGUGCGUAUGGUUCUGUCAUCUGGCAAGGCGUUUAUAUCCUUGAGCCGACGGGAAAACUAGAACAGCAGGGCGCAUGGGAGGUGUACAAGGUUUUAAAAACGGGUGCCCUCAGGAGGUGCACAGAAAUAUUUCUGUAUACAGCAGCUGCUCAAGGUAUGUUCGUUUUUCGACAGGAAACGUAAAUAACGAGGGCUUGCAAAGAAAGCAUUUAGUGAAAACAAAAAAUGGCCACGUGUGCAAAAAUAUACUGUGGGUUUCAGACGUUUUCAUGCACAGCGGGGAGACGGUAUGAUUCUCGGGAGAUGUAAAUUCCAACAGCGGAGUAUACAGUAGGUGCUCAGUAGCGACACCGGAUGCAUCCGGUGGGUGCACCGAGACGUUUGCCAGAUUGGCAGUAUUGCCCAAGACCUGUCGGUCCUCGUGAUGACGUGCCCGCGCUCGGGAAGUGCUUUCCGACCCCCUCGGGGGAGUUAAGCCGCCCUGGCUGGACCUCAGCCCACCUGGGGUGGCGCCAGGUUCCGGGGCGGCGUGAGAAGCCAGGCACCUCGGGCCCCCCAGCCCUGAGCGCACCACCCGCCCACCCGCAGCCUGCUCAUCACCUCACUUGGCCACAUCAAGCUGACCGACUUCGGCCUAUCCAAGAUUGGGCUCAUGAGCAUGGCCACCAACCUCUAUGAGGGCCACAUCGAGAAGGACACCCGGGAGUUCGUGGACAAGCAGGUGUGCGGGUGGGCAGGUGGCCCUGGGUGCGGGGCCGCCCCCCCCCCUAUCUGGAUCCUGACCCUCAGGAUGCGGGGAGACUUCGCAGCACCAAGGAGAAAAUAAACCGCACCCCCCCCCCCCCCCCCCCCCCCCCCCCCCCGCCCCCCGCCCCCCGCCCCGUAAUUCUCUCCACCCCCCGUUCCCAGCCUGGCCUUGGCCUCUCCGUCCCCCUCGUGGUCUCUCUGGAGUUGGAGGCCAUCCUCCUGUUCCCCAUUCUGCCUGACCCAGGUGUGCGGGACCCCUGAGUACAUCGCGCCCGAGGUCAUCUUCCGCCAGGGCUACGGGAAGCCGGUGGACUGGUGGGCCAUGGGUGUCGUCCUCUAUGAAUUCCUGGUGGGCUGUGUGCCCUUCUUUGGAGACACCCCCGAGGAACUCUUCGGCCAGGUGGUCAGUGGUGCGUUUCCCCCACCGUGGCCCCGGUUCGAGUCUUGGCCGCCCUGGGGCUCUGGGCAGCAGUUUCCCUACCGAAGGGAGCAGCUAUGUGUGUGGAUUGGGCACGUGCGGUGUGCCUGGCCCCAGCUGGACACUGGGGACAUGGCCAAGGGCGAGACAGCAAGGGAGAUAAACACGCAAGUUAGGGAACAUCAGAUACAAAAAAAAGUGCCCAGGAAAAGAAGCAGGAAGAGGGGAGGGGAUAGGGUACCAGAGGUGGUGGGGGCGGGGGCUUGGGGGGGGCGCUGCAUUAAAUAGAGGGUCAUGGAGGCCUCGCCAAGGUGACGGUGUGAGUAAAGACCUGAAGGAGCAGCAGGGAGUCCCAAAAGUAGAAGAGGGGAAGGUGUUCUGGGCAGAGGAUGCAGCCACAGCAAAGGCUGUGUAUGAGGUGGGACCGAGCCUGGUGUGUUGAUGGAAUAGAAAAGGCUGAUGGCUUAGAGUACAGUGAGUGAGGGGAGGUGGUUGGAGGUGCUAUGAAGGGUUGUCCUCACCCUCUCACUCUCUUUUAUUUUAUUUUACGUUUAUUAUUAUUUUUUUAAUUUGACUUGAUUUAUUUUUCCCUCUCCUCAUUUUAGAUGAGAUCAUGUGGCCCGAAGGGGAUGAGGCCCUUCCGGCAGAUGCCCAGGACCUCAUCACCAGGCUGCUCCGACAGAGCCCACUGGACCGUCUGGGCACUGGUAUGUGGACGUGGGAUGGGGAGAGGCUGCAUAGAGAAGGGGGACUUGGGGCUGGGGUUUUGAAGGACGCACAGGAGUUCACCGGGAACUAGCGUAAGACCUUGAAGGAAUAGCGGGUAUCUGGGUCGGAUGCAGACAAGGGGGCACUGAGGCUGAGUGAGAGCCUACAAGGUCACCGUGGGGUAUGUCCUAAGGUCCUCAAAGGCCCAGCCCAGUGGAUCCCACUGUUCAGAUUCCCCAGCCACCUAGUUAACGGGGAAAGGACUAUUUGAGACUCACGCAGCCGCUACGGGUUAUGUCCAUGAGGAAGCUUAGCCACUGGAGAGGACCACAGGGGCUGAGGUUGGGGAACAGGAUCCCUUCACGCAGUCAGCUCUCUGCUCCGUGGAGUAGAAAUGCAUAGAGAAGGCUGGAAAGAAAGCCCUCCUAGGGCUUUGGGAUCUCGGAAUCCAGCAGAGGAAAGAGCAGGGCCUGGGGGCUAGCCCCAAUUCUGUCUGUCUUCAGGCUCUUAAACAGCGGCUGUUCCCCUCGCCAUCUUUACGGCUCUGUGUUGGCCAAGUCGGGGCUCAGAUUUGGCCCAGGGGGCAGUGGGGGACAGGGACACGCAGGGCCGAGCCAGGCAUGUGUUGGCAGGUGGCACCCACGAGGUAAAACAGCACCCCUUCUUCCGAACACUGGACUGGGCAGGGCUUCUGCGACACAAAGCUGAGUUCGUGCCACAGCUCGAAGCUGAGGAUGACACCAGCUACUUUGACAGUAAGUGGUGGGGGGGGUGGGCUCUGCUAUCCCACAAGCCCCUGAGGCGGGGAGGGGAUGUCUGCCAGGGUCUCCACCCAAGCACCUCGCCCUGGACCUGGAGCUUCUGACUUCCGGAGCUUUCUGAGUAAUCAGAGCGUGUCUGCCGGCAGCUGCCCCCUCCCUGGCUGGGAUUUCCUGUGCCUCUGGGGUCCGGAGGCCACGGCAUCCUCUUGGGUUGUGGGAGGGGAAACCAAGGCACUGAGUGUGGCAGACCCUUGCCUGGCGUCCCUAGCAGGUUCAGCCUCCUGAGCGUCCAGCCCUGACCAAGGAUGGUGCCUCAUCUGUCACACGGGAGGGAGGGGCGCUUCGCUUUGCCUUGUGGAGGGAGCCCCUCCGACAUUGUGGGCGGGCUCAGACGAGUCUUCCUCUGCCCACUUGGGGCUCCAGCCACACAGGUUAAAUGCUCUAGGCUUCCAGCACCUCCUCUAGAAUUUGCUGUGUGAUCUUGGGCGUGUCAGAGGUCUUCUCUGAGCAGCUGUUUCCUGUUCUGUAAAGUGGGGAGCAUCCUUUAUGUUUAAGAUGCACACGAUCACCUAAUUCUGGGUGACCCAUCUCAAGGGCGAGGCUCCCGAGGGUCAGACACAAGAAUCCCCACCCACAGUCCCACGGUUUUUAGGGACCCAGCUGGAGUUUUUCGGCCAGGUCCUCACUCUGCCAACUCAAGCCUCCCGUGGCCCCUAAAUACACCAGACACAGCCCCACCUCAGUGCCUUUGCCCUGACCGUGUCUCCCCACCCCGGGACGCCCUCCCCAGAUCACCCCACAGCCCUCGCGGCCGCCUCGGGGCAUCGGGUGGGCUGUACGUGCCUUUCCGUCCUGCAGCGCGCUCGGAACGCUACCGCCACCUGGGCUCCGAGGACGAGGAGACCAACGACGAGGAGUCAUCCACGGAGAUCCCCCAGUUCUCGUCAUGUUCCCACCGGUUCAGCAAGG
Molecule: long non-coding RNA, 20929 nt
Filed under: Lynx pardinus (Iberian lynx)
Lineage: Eukaryota; Metazoa; Chordata; Mammalia; Carnivora; Felidae
Source: RNAcentral